Ailuropoda melanoleuca (giant panda) is the source of this 3269-nucleotide long non-coding RNA. RefSeq lists it as uncharacterized. The transcript is spliced from 3 exons. The record is from RefSeq and is a predicted model, not a curated record. NCBI's taxonomy places the organism in Eukaryota, Metazoa, Chordata, Mammalia, Carnivora, Ursidae.
GGCUCCCAGCAGAGGAGCCUGACGUGGGGCUCGAUCCCAGAAUGCUGGGAUCACGCCUUGAGCUGAAGGCAGACGCUUAACGACUGAGCCACCCAGGCGCCCCAACUUCAUCUCCCAUUUAAAUGUCAUUAUCAGUCUCAUGAAGUUGCUGUAGAUGCGGGUGGACUGAGAGAUCCUUGUGAGGUUAUCUUUUAACAUUGGGGUUUUGUUACGCUAAUUAAUACCUGUGUAACCAACCUGCUCAGCUCCGAUUUUUCUGACUGGAGGAAAUUCCCACUCCAAAGCCUUCGGGACCUUAGGGAAGUGUGGCAGGCCCAUGUCUGCUGGAAGGAGGAUACACACCUACAGCUCUAAGGGGUCCUUCCAAGCGAACCAGGGUUUGCAAAUUCACACUCAGCUCACCAGGGAUGUUCUGAGAAUGGACAGGGCACCAGUCCUCAGACCACACUCCACACUAGUCCUGGUGGGACUGGAACAGACCUUGAGCUCUGCAUCAGACCGGGGGCAGCAGACUCCCAUCUGUUUGCACAGGGCUCUGUAGGCUGUGAAGGCAGCUGGAGUUGGGAGUCACCUCCAGCUGGGGAGGACCCAGGUGUGGUCACCUUACCUACGAGGGCAGUGGAAACAUGGGAGGCUCAGCCUGGUGUCCUUGAUGGGCCCACAAGAGCCAGAGCAAAUUAAGUGAGGGGUGCUCCUGAGAUGAUGAGAAUUCUAGAGCAGGGGGCAACUUCUUAGAUCCUGAGGCACUUUUGAAAUUCUGAAAUUCUAGGACUGGGACAGCAUUGCUCCAAUUUCCCACUAUGGAAAAGAGGCUUAAAAAGAGUCAGGGCAACCUUUGCAAAUACAUUUAAGCAUCUGCUAUUCACCAGGCUCUGCAAAUUCAUGAUGUCAGGUGACAAAUUGCUCCAUAUGAUGCUGAAUCUUAUUCUACGUCGGGCAGACACAAACCACUAAGUGUUCACAGAGAUGGGGAAAGGAAGGGACAAAAAUCCCUUCCAGAUUUCAGAACACCUGUGAGAGUCUUGUCCCUCCCACUGCCCUGGGGCUUUUGGUUAUUGCAUUGAUUAAUGGCCCCCCAUCCUGCUCCUUCCUGUCUGGUCCUCCUGUGGACCAUGUUCCUCAUCUCGGAUUCACCUUCAAAAGAAGUCCUGGGUUUCAACCCCUGUUCUCUUGCUCACAAGCUGUGUGUCCUAGAACCAAGUACUUAACCUCUCUGAAUUCCUUGAUUUUUAUGUGAAAUGCUAUUUUUUUGAGUUAUCAUUCAAAGAAAAUUUUUAUUUGCAGCAAAUGAGGAGGUCAUGGGGAAUGGCUUUCCAAACCGUGACUCUGAGGGAGAGAAAGGGGGAGAGAGAGAGAGAGAGAGAGAGAGAGAGAGAGAGAGAGAGAGAGAGAGAAUGGGUUCCUUUUGUUUAGGGUUAGGAUGAAUGCUUAAAUAGGGAAGCCUUGUCAUCCUGUGCGAAAGCAGGCAUGAUGCAUGCGCCUUAAGGAAACAUGCCUAUACAUAGUGUGUCAUGUAAGUGAGGCUGAGGCUCCUCCUUGGGGGGAGCUUUUAGUAUUUUAAUGAGGUAAAGAGAAUUGUAGGUCAUUCCCAAGGUCACUCCAUGUCCAUGUGAGCAGAAGCAAGUCAGGUUUAGCUCAAAGGUCUGGGUGGCCUGGGGGGCAGGAGAUUUUGUCACCAUCACCUGGGGGUGGUUUCAGGUGUCAUUUGCCCGAAUUAAAAAGAAAGCAGGGAAAGAAGAGCUUAGGGGAAAACAUAAGACAAAUGUUAGCAGUAGAAGCAGGUGGGCAGUCAAGGCCAGGUCUUGGGACCUACCUGGUAACAAAUCCCUCCUCUGGUUUUGUUCUCCUCAUCCUUGAGGGGCAUGGGGUGAAAGUCUGUCUUCUGUAGCUACUUCCUGCUGGCCAUGGGCAUAUGGACGUAGGCAUAGAGACUGAGAGAGGAGCAGAAUUCUCCUUCAGCUAGUUUUAGCUAUGUCUGUCGAUCACCAGGUUUAACCCCUGUUCAUAUCCUUGUAUUACUACCAUUUAUAACUUUAUGGGCUCCGUGUGUUUGGAUACAAACUGUAGCAAACAGUUAAGCAUGUGAGGUCCAAUCAGUAAUAAGAACAGUCUUUAGUUUGUUUCCCUUUGCUGUGAUCCUGCUGAUACUUACUAGGAAAUUUAGUUUCCAAGGACACAUUAGUGUGUUCAUAGCUUUUUGCUUCUCUAGGAUAAUCAUGAACAGACUAACAUCAAGAAGGUGUUCAUUUUGCAAUCAGACCAAGGUAGAGGGGAUUAGAACAUGAUCUAUUUUGCCAUGUACUAACAAUAAGCUGUGGCAUUUAUUCUUCAAUGGUCACAUAGAGAAUGAUUUUUAAAUUUGAGAGCCCUUAUUUAAUGAGGCGUCCUUACCCUGUGUCUCUGCAAAAGAAGAUUCCUGUCAGUGAGCAACACACAGGAAUAUUGUCAUUCGGUGCUAUCUUCUGGGCCUCUGGUGCGGAUGCCCUUUUACUCUAUUCUGUUGGAUCCAAGCCAUGACUCUCUCCAUAGAUUUGGGUGAAUUCCUCUUCUCCAGGUCCCACAAAUAUUCUGAGGCUUCUGCACCUGUUUCUGAUACAUGUGUCCGUUGACCCAAAGAGCUGCUCCCUCCUCUUUCCUUGUGUGAAGUACUUUUACAGUGAUCUCCAGGUCACAGGGCUUCGGUAAGGGUCAGGUGAACUCAUGGAUGGGUUGGCAACAUGUUUUCAAGAAAGGCGAGGUAGGACAUAUUUUAGGCUUGGAGGGUCUCAGCCUCAGUUACUCAUCUCCACCAUUGCGCUGCUAAUGCAGCUGCUCACGGUACAUACGUAAGUGGGUGUGGCUGUUCCAAUAAAACUUUAUUUAUAUCAGUGUGUGGGGAGUGGUGUGGAUUCAGCCCUCAGACUAUCAUUUGCUAACCCCUGAAUUCAUGCACAUAAAGCGGUCAGUAUAGGGUCUGGCACGGGAGAAGCCACGAGGAAGUAGUGGUUUAUCAGUUGUUAGUAUCAUUAUUGUUACUUUUUACCAUGAGUCAUAUUUGGGCAGAACAGAGCAUGGGAUCCAGGUCCCAGCAAGAAACAUGUGCUUGAGGGUAGGAGAAAUCCAGCAGACCCUGGUGGAUGAUACAGACACCAUCCUGCAACCAUCACAUGACACCACAGAGCGCGCUGAUUGCUCUAGGAUUACUGGGUGCGAUAGUGUUAAUGUGCAUGCACGUGUGUGCGUUUGUGUGUGCAGGUGUGUGUGCAGGUGUGUGUGUGUGUGUGUGUGUG